Neogale vison (American mink) is the source of this 2079-nucleotide long non-coding RNA. RefSeq lists it as uncharacterized. Lineage: Eukaryota; Metazoa; Chordata; Mammalia; Carnivora; Mustelidae. The transcript has 3 exons. The record is from RefSeq and is a predicted model, not a curated record.
GAACUUUGGGGAACUCUAUUCUACAACAAUAAUGACAUGGAAGAGUUAAAAUUGGAUGUGUGGGUCAGUGUCACACGGGCCUGAGGAACUUUCACUGAGUCACCCCAGCGGUAGAGACAGAGAAGAAAUGCAGGUUUUUGCCACUUCAGAGAAGGGAGGGGCAUGGAAAAGGGGCAUGGCUGCAUGGAAAAGUCUGGAUACCAAAGCAAUCUUUGAGAUUGAGAGGAGAAUUUGGCAUGAGUUUUAUAUACAAGUGUGUAUACAAUCAAGUGUGGACAUGGAAGGCUCAAUGAAUGCCUGCACAGAGCCCAGACAUCACAAAGACUUAGGUAUAUCCUUCAGCCUUCAAAAAGGAAAGGAAGUAAGAAUUUUCAAGGACAGGCAUAUCCUUUUUUCUCUGGACCCCUGGAGAUUCAGACCAGGAGCCCUAUUAGGAUGAGGGCUUUUGGAGAGGUAGGAAGAGAGAAGAUGUGACUUGAAAAUAGAUGAUAUCCAGAGGAGUCAAAUACCCAACUGUUCAUAACUCAAGCCAGCAGGAAAUCUGGAAUUUCUUACAGCAUUCAGAGUAGGAGCCAGUUGGGCAGCGACACAAAAGUCAAGAGGUGAACAUCAUCUCUAGGACAAGAGUCACGCCUAGGAAUGGGCAUGCCAGCCCUCAAGACAUCACAGUUCACAGAAAGCCACAGGCCCCAGGAUGCAACAUUGACUUGGGUCUCAUGACUAUUUUGCGUCUAGUGAUGAUAACUUUACCACUACCUAAUGCAACUUGGGAAAAUCAAGUGUUCUUCUUGUGUCUUAAAUGAGAUAUAGGAGCAGAUGAUCUACAAAGUCCCUAAAGAUUUAAGAUUUUAACAUACAAUCACAGAAAGGAUGCUUCCUAAGUGGAGAAUGAGGAGGUGAAGAGAUGUAGUGAAGGGAAAAAGUGGAGAAGUGUAGAAAGUAGAGACAUGAAGCAUAGAAAGGAGAGAAGGUAGUGAAGAUGAAUUUGGUGUGUGAUCAGAUUUACAGUUGAAUGUUCUUUAGGAGAGCAUUAUGUUAGGAAUCAAAACACAGUUUUUUAAUAAAUCCAGCACUAUGAGUUUUUCUUUCUGAAGCAGUCUUCACACUGGGGGGCAUCACAUAAAUAGAUGUUUCUUAUUUAGGGGCAAUGAUACAUGCAAGAUAUGUACCACGGCGUUUCCAAUACAGUUGUACUCCAUACAUCAGGGUGCUUACCUUAUGAGAAAAAUCCAUUCUCCUGAGUCCAGGUGAAGGGACAUAUCUCAUCUCACCUUAUGAGAAAAAUCUAUGCUCCUGAGUCCAGGUGAAGGGACAUAGCUCCCAGAAUUUAGGUAGUGGACGUAUAGAAUUUAAUGUACCUUCCAGAGGGUGAAAAAUGUGUCAACUCUUACUUAGGAAAGGUUUUCUUUAUCCUUCAGGAGUGACUUUCUUUGACUCAAUGGGUUUACCUGAAGUCUUGCUUACCUAUUCAUUUGUCAUUGUCUCCUGCCAAACAUCCCUGGUCUUGUUGAAAACUUGAAAGUAUUAAUGACAGCAUAAUAUAGUAUCUCAUGUUGAUUUCCAUAGUUAUUCUUUCAAAAGAAGGACUAUACCUAUGAAAAUUUUUUCAUGCAUAUUCUUUAAAUGUUAUGGCAAGAGAACUUUGUUUUUGCUGGUGAAGAUCUGCUCAAUUAUUCAAAUAGCAUAUUGGGUUACAUGUUCAAAGCAGUGUGAGAGGAGUAGAGUCUUGGAACUGACAUUUCAUUACUUGAUACUAAAAUGGGAACAGUCACAACCUCUACCAGACUGAACUUCAUAUUGUCAUCAUAAGUCUUCCUUAAGAGUCGAGAUUGCCUGUGACACCUAUUUACCGAGUGUGAUCUGAUUGUAUGGUGCUAUAAUAUUGAAUUAUUUUGUGCCCAAAAUGUAGUAACAAGCAUGUGACCAUUGUUCCACAAUUAAUUCUGUAACAUUUUGAGAGCUGCUAAAGGAUUUUUUAAUAAAAUAUUUGGCUUUUUGUGCUUUCCAAACAAUAUAAUCAAACAUUUUUAAAAUGAUAUAGUAAAGCUCUAAAGAAUCAGUUUUAGGGGCAUCUGGGUG